AAAGAAGAAGUAAAUAACGUUGAUCCUUUUUUUUUCUUUUCUCUUCUGGCUGGGGUCCUUAUAAAUUGGUGUUGGCCCUCUUUGUUCUCCUUCUUCUCCAUCCCCAAGUUAAAAGAUUUGUAGUUAGUGUUUUUGAAUAUACAGUACACAUAGUACUACUCUAUGUUGUUGAUGAUAGUUUGGAAGCAAAUCUCUAAAGAUGGAAGUGUUUGGACACACGAUUUCUCGAUAGGCGAAGCGCAUUCUACUUAGGGGACGUAGAAGAUGAUAUAUUUUUGCCAAUCUCAUGGCGAAGGGUUACGUUACGUUGUAGAAGAAAUUAACCUUGAUCACUUCUAUCUUAGUUAAUGGUUUAAGCUUGGAAAGAGGCAGACAGAUGGAGCCAGGCAAUAUAGUCUUUAAUUUUCUGUUAUUCAUGUAUUAUUAAUUUCUUGUUUCAUUAUUAUUUAAUUUCCUAUAGUCUUCCUUCUCUUUGAUCCUUUGGUAGACCUAACAAUAUUUGUUCUAAGGGAUGAGCAAAAGAGAGGAGUGAAUUAAUCUAAGCACUGUUUUUUAAUCGUUUAGUGUGUGCAAAAUGUUGCAGAAUACUACAAAGAACUGAAAGUGAAACUUGCAUUCAGGACGGAACCAGUUCCAUGUCUUUUUGUUGCAUCUAUAUACUAUUUUGUUGAAUGUUAGUAUUAAUUUUGUAUUCUGUUCUUAUGACAGCAAGUUUGGAACAAAUCCGUAUUAUGUUGAUUUUUUUUCCGA
This 750-nucleotide long non-coding RNA is filed under the name Capsicum annuum. RNAcentral's name for it is "long non-coding RNA (CANN_LNC003703)". Lineage: Eukaryota; Viridiplantae; Streptophyta; Magnoliopsida; Solanales; Solanaceae. The record is from RNAcentral.